CGGUCUGAUCAAGCGUCUCUAAGGGCAUUUGGGGGAUGCCUUGGCGUUGAGAGGCGAUGAAGGACGUGACACGCUGCGAUAAGCCAUGGGGAGCUGCGAGUAAGCUUUGAUCCGUGGAUUUCCGAAUGGGGAAACCCGGCCAUUUAGGUCAUCCCGCAAGGGAAGCGAACCUGGGGAACUGAAAUAUCUAAGUACCCAGAGGAAAGGACAUCAACCGAGACUCCGUUAGUAGUGACGAGCGAACGCGGGACCAGGCCAGUGGCUUGAUAGAAGAUAACCAGAAGCGUCUGGAAAGGCGCGCCAUAGUGGGUGAUAGCCCCGUAUGGGUAAUGCUUUCUUCAAGUCCUUGAGUAGGGCGGGACACGUGAAAUCCUGUCUGAACAUGGGGGGACCACCCUCCAAGCCUAAGUACUCCUCAACGGCCGAUAGUGAACCAGUACCGUGAGGGAAAGGUGAAAAGCACCCCGAUGAGGGGAGUGAAAUAGACCUGAAACCGAAUGCCUACAAUCAGUCGGAGCCACAGUAAGUGGUGACGGCGUACCUUUUGUAUAAUGGGUCAGCGAGUUACUUUGACGAGCAAGCCUAAGCCGUUAGGCGUAAGCGAAGCGAAAGCGAGUCUGAAUAGGGCGUUUAGUUCGUUUGAGUAGACCCGAAACCGGGUGAUCUAGCCAUGGGCAGGUUGAAGGUACGGUAACACGUACUGGAGGACCGAACCCACGCAUGUUGAAAAAUGCGGGGAUGACCUGUGGCUAGGGGUGAAAGGCCAAUCAAACCCGGAGAUAGCUGGUUCUCUGCGAAAACUAUUUAGGUAGUGCGUCGUGUAUUACCGUCGGGGGUAGAGCACUGGAUGGGCUAGGGGGGCGCGAGCCUUACCAAACCUAACCAAACUCCGAAUACCGUCGAGUACAGCACGGCAGACAGACUAUGGGUGCUAAGGUCCAUAGUCGAGAGGGAAACAGCCCAGACCUCCAGCUAAGGUCCCUAAAUUGUGGCUAAGUGGGAAAGGAUGUGGGAAGGCCAAGACAGCCAGGAGGUUGGCUUAGAAGCAGCCAUCCUUUAAAGAAAGCGUAACAGCUCACUGGUCUAGACAAGCCGGCCUGCGCCGAAGAUGUAACGGGGCUAAAGCCACAUACCGAAGCUGAGGACGUGAUUUAUCACGUGGUAGCAGAGCGUUCUGUAGGCCUGCGAAGCGUAAUCGUGAGAUUGCGUGGAGGUAUCAGAAGUGAGAAUGCUGACAUGAGUAGCGAUAAAGAGUGUGAGAAACACUCUCGCCGUAAGCCCAAGGGUUCCUGCGCAAGGCUAAUCCGCGCAGGGUGAGUCGGCCCCUAAGACGAGGGCGAAAGCCGUAGUCGAUGGGAAUCAGGUUAAUAUUCCUGAACCUGUUGGUAGUGACGGAUGACGUAAGUUGUACAUGCUUAACGGAUUGUGUGUGCAGCGAAGUUGUCCCAGGAAAUAGCUCCAACAUUAAGACCGUACCCCAAACCGACACAGGUGGGCAGGUAGAGCAUACCGAGGCGCUUGAGAGAACGAUGUUGAAGGAACUCGGCAAAUUGCCCCCGUAACUUCGGGAGAAGGGGGACCUCCAUUUAGGCAACUAGAUGGAGGUGGCACAGACCAGGGGGUGGCGACUGUUUAUUAAAAACACAGGGCUCUGCGAAGUAGACAAUACGACGUAUAGGGUCUGACGCCUGCCCGGUGCCGGAAGGUUAAGAGGAGGUGUGAGAGCUCCGAAUUGAAGCCCCGGUAAACGGCGGCCGUAACUAUAACGGUCCUAAGGUA
This 1779-nucleotide ribosomal RNA is filed under the name uncultured proteobacterium EBAC46D07. RNAcentral describes it as "bacterial LSU rRNA". It matches the Rfam family "Bacterial large subunit ribosomal RNA", at positions 1 to 1958 of the family's 2925-position model. Lineage: Bacteria; Pseudomonadati; Pseudomonadota. The record is from RNAcentral.